This 459-nucleotide ribosomal RNA is filed under the name uncultured bacterium. RNAcentral's name for it is "partial 16S ribosomal RNA". It matches the Rfam family "Bacterial small subunit ribosomal RNA", at positions 339 to 795 of the family's 1533-position model. The record is from RNAcentral.
CUACGGGCCGCUGCAGUAAGGAAUAUUGCGCAAUGGAGGCAACUCUGACGCAGCCAUGCCGCGUGCAGGAAGAAGGCCUUAUGGGUCGUAAACUGCUUUUAUUUAGGAAUAAACCCCCGAACGUGUUCGGGGCUGAAGGUACUAAACGAAUAAGCACCGGCUAACUCCGUGCCAGCAACCGUGGUAAUACGGAGGGUGCAAGCGUUAUCCGGAUUUAUUGGGUUUAAAGGGUGCGCAGGCGGGCUAUUAAGUCAGUGGUGAAAUCCCGGGGCUCAACUCCGGAACUGCCAUUGAUACUGAUAGUCUUGAGUUUGGUUGAAGUGGGCGGAAUGUAGCAUGUAGCGGUGAAAUGCAUAGAUAUGCUACAGAACACCAAUCGCGAAGGCAGCUCACUAAGCCAAAACUGACGCUCAUGCACGAAAGCGUGGGGAUCAAACAGGAUUAGAUACCCCUGUAGUC